UUCCAGACUCCUACGGGAGGCAGCAGUGAGGAAUAUUGGUCAAUGGGCGAGAGCCUGAACCAGCCAAGUCGCGUGAAGGAUGACGGCCCUACGGGUUGUAAACUUCUUUUGUCAGGGAGCAAUUGGGUCCACGCGUGGGCUUAGCGAGAGUACCUGAAGAAAAAGCAUCGGCUAACUCCGUGCCAGCAGCCGCGGUAAUACGGAGGAUGCGAGCGUUAUCCGGAUUUAUUGGGUUUAAAGGGUGCGUAGGCGGAAUAUCAAGUCAGCGGUAAAAAUUCGGGGCUCAACCCCGUCGUGCCGUUGAAACUGUCGGACUAGAGACGGCGAGAAGUACGCGGAAUGCGCGGUGUAGCGGUGAAAUGCAUAGAUAUCGCGCAGAACUCCGAUUGCGAAGGCAGCGUACCGGCGCCGGACUGACGCUGAGGCACGAAAGCGUGGGUAUCGAACAGGAUUAGAUACCCCCGUAU
RNAcentral lists this ribosomal RNA (467 nucleotides) under uncultured bacterium. RNAcentral's name for it is "partial 16S ribosomal RNA". It matches the Rfam family "Bacterial small subunit ribosomal RNA", at positions 329 to 793 of the family's 1533-position model. The record is from RNAcentral.